Molecule: long non-coding RNA, 3486 nt
Organism: Quercus robur (English oak)
Lineage: Eukaryota; Viridiplantae; Streptophyta; Magnoliopsida; Fagales; Fagaceae
Exons: 3
Source: RefSeq, a predicted model, not a curated record
GGACACACACACACAGCUUAGGCAUCCUCUCUACCUCUCCCCCAUCUCUUCCCGUCUCCCUUAUCAUUUUAUCAUCCAAAUUAUCCAGAAGAUUCCGCAAAAGAAAAAUCAGAAACAACUAUCCCAAAAUGCCCAAAAAAGCAACUCAAAGACAGUCUGAAAAACCCAGAUAAACCCAUUGAAUAAACCAAAAAAAAAAAAACCCUUGAACCCACAGAAAAUCCGGAGAGUAAAGAAACCAAAAAGAAGUAGAUUUAGGACAUCAACAGAGAACCCAAACACGACUAGGCACUAAUCGAAGCAACUGGAAGACAGAACCACCAAUAACAAGAACAACCAUAAUCAAGCAUCAAGUAAACAGUGAACAGAAGCUAAAAAUAAAAGCAGAGAGAGUACAUCAAAUGGGAGAUAAAUCACUGUUUAAGUCACUUAAAGAGAAGGUCGGUGACUAUGUGACAUUUGGCGAUGGAAGUCAUGCUCAAGUACUUGGCAAAGGGACUGUUGAGAUACCGGGAUUACCUUUAUUGAAGGAUAUCUUAUACAUCAAAGGGCUUAAGGCAAAUCUCUCACGCAUCACUCAAAUAUGUAAUGAGGAUUUCCUUGUUCAAUUCUCAAAGAAGGGGUGUGUAAUCAUUGAUGAAGAAGGGAUUUAAGUCUUGAAGGGAAAUAGAACUAUCGACAAUUGCUACAGAGUAGUUCCUACGUCAAAGAUUUCCUGUAGAAGUGCUCGUGUUGACAUGUUGGAACAUGGUGAAUGUGAGCACUACUUCACAUUGUUUAGAGCUUUUUCAUGUUGAUCUAAUGGGGCCCACAAGAACUGAAAGCCUAGGAGGAGAAAGGUGCAUCAUGGUCAUUGUUGAUGAUUUCUCAAGAUACACUUGGGUGGAAUUUCUUAGAGAAAAAUCAGAAGCAUGUGAGAAACUGGAAAUUCUGUGCAAGAGACUUCAAAACAAGAAAGGGGCUCCUAUUGUCAAGAUACGGAGUGAUCAUGGCAAGGAGUUUGAGAAUGCUAGAUUUGAGUCUUUUUGUGAGAAGAAUGGGAUCAAAAAAGAAUUUUUAGCUCCCAAAACUCCUUAAAAUGGGGUGGUUGAGAGGAAAAUUGGGUGAUUCAAGAAAUGGUAAGAGUUAUGCUACUCAAUAAGCAAAUUCCACAAAAAAUUUGGGGAGAAGCCAUGAACACUUCAUGUCACAUUGGUAAUAAAAUAUUCUUCCAAGCGGGAACAAAGAAGACUGCAUAUGAAAUUUGGAAUGGAAAGAAGCCAAAAGUGAAGUACUUCCGAGUAUUCGGAAGCAAGUGUUACAUUCUAAAUGAUCGGGAGAACAUUGAAAAAUUUGAUGCAAAAAGCGAUGAAGGCAUCUUCCUUGGGUAUUCUACUACUAGCUGGGCAUAUAGAGUUUUCAACAAGAGAGCAAAAAUGGUAAUGGAGUCCAUUAAUAUGGAAAUUAAUGAUGCUAUAACAAAAGUUGAGAUUGAUGAUGAUGGAGAAGGACCAAGCUCCAAAGGACCCACUGUUGAGGUCGAAGCCCAAGAUAUUGAAGGAGAAGGACUUACACUGGAAAAGGGAUCGACUCUCGUGAACUCAAGAAUAGAAACAAGGUUAAUGUCUAGUACAUCAAGUCCUCUCACUCCUCUAGAAGUUCAUUCUCCUAUCUCUCGGAAUGAUGAAGUGUCCACCUCAAAGAAGCCAUCGUCAAGAGUGGUUAAAAACCAUCUAGACAGUAACAUCAUUGGGUCACUAGAUGAAGGUCUUCGUCUUAGAAAGGGAAACAUACUUCUGGCCAAUCAUAUAACAUACCAUUGCUACCUUGCCCAAUUUGAGCUGAAAAAGGUAGAAGAAGCUCUUUAAGAUGAAAAUUUGGUUGAGUCAAUGCAUGAAGAGCUGAAUCAAUUUAUAAGAAAUGAUGUAUGGGAACUUGUUCCUAGGCCUGAAAAUGUUCAUGUCAUCGGCACCAAAUGGAUCUUCAAAAACAAGACCGAUGAAGAUGGAGAGAUUAUACGGAAUAAGUCUCGGCUGGUGGCUCAAGGAUACAAUCAAGUGGAAGGAGUAUAUUUUGAUGAAUCCUUCGCUCCCGUAGCAAGCCUUGAGUCUAUCUGCAUUCUUAUGUCAAUUGCAUGCACUAUGAACUUCAAACUCUACCAAAUGGAUGUGAAAUGUGCAUUUCUCAAUUGUACUUGAAUGAAGAAGUUUUUGUUGAACAACCUAAAGGUUUCCAAGACCCUCACUUCCCUGAUCAUGUGCUAUGAUUGAAGAAGGCUCUUUAUGGCUUGAAACAAGCUCCUGGAGCUUGGUAUGAUCGGCUUACACAUUACCUCUUGGAUAGAGGAUUCAAAAGAGAAUAUGACGACCGGACUCUAUUUGUUAAGAAUGAUGAGGACUACCUUCUCGUGACUCAAGUAUAUGUUGAUGACGUAGUAUUUGAAGCUACCACAGAUGCUCGAGCUAUAGAGUUCUCUAAGGAGAUGAAGAAAGAAUAUGAGAUGAGAUGGUGGGGGAGUUUACAUUUUUCUUGGGCCUUCAAGUCAAACAAAAGAAGGAGGGCAUAUUCAUUUCACAAGAAUAAUAUGCUAGAAAUAUUGUCAAGAAGUUUGGAUUAGAUUCCAAAAAGCAUGCCUCCACUCCUAUGAGUUCAUCUACAAAGCUUAAUCUUGAUCCUUCCGGGGUAGAAGUGAGUCCAACUUUGUAUAGGAGUAUCAUUGGGAGUUUACUCUAUCUUACAGAUAGUAGACCGGAUAUUGCUUUUAGCGUGGGAGUUUGUGCUCGAUAUCAAGCUGCUCUGAAAGAAUCUAACCUAACUACAGUGAAGCGAAUCAUAUGAUAUGUCAAUGGCACUCCGGAUUAUGGCUUGUGGUAAUGAAAGGAUUCUAAUCCUUGCCUCGCGGGUUAUUCAGAUGCAAAUUGGGCUGGAAGUGUGGAUGACUGAAAAAGUACUUUAGGCAGUUGUUUCUACCUUGGGAACAAUAUUUUCUCUUGGAUGAGCAAGAAACAAAAUUCAGUGUCCGUUUCUAUGGCGGAAGCAAAGUACAUUACUGCUGGAAGUUAUUGCACACAACUUCUCUGGGUGAAGAAGUUACUUCACGACUACGGGAUUCCUCAAGAUACAAUGUGUGUGUUCUGUGACAACAUCAGUGCUAUAAAUCACUCUAAGAAUCCAGUUCAACAUUCAAAGUUGAAGCACAUAGAGAUACGUUAUCACUUCAUUUGGGAUUUGGUGGAAGAUAAAGAUGUGUGUCUUGAAUUCAUACAUAUGGAAAAUCAAAAGGUGGACAUCUUCACCAAACCUUUCAAUGGUUCACAGUUUGAAUCACUCUGUAAGACCAUCGGCGUUGGUACAAUUCCUUGAAUCUCAUGUGUAAUGUGUGCUUUACUUAUUUAUCUUGAUUUAAACUCACUAGUGUAGAGCACACACUACUUUGUUCGUUUCAUGUAUAGCAUGUUUUGACAAAUUUUUAUUUAUUUCCUUGCUUUGAAAGUUUUUUCUUUUUGA